Non-coding RNA from Podarcis lilfordi (Lilford's wall lizard), 74 nucleotides. Lineage: Eukaryota; Metazoa; Chordata; Lepidosauria; Squamata; Lacertidae. The record is from the annotation of a GenBank genome assembly.
AGCUGGAUAGCUAAGUUGGUAGAACAUGAGACACUUAAUCUCAUGGCCAUGGGUUCAAGCGCCAUGUUCGGCAA